UUUUUUUGCCAGUCCUGGGCCUUGGACUCAGGGCCUGAGCACUAUGCUUUUAGAAUCAUCUAAAAAUAACAGGACAUUUUCAGAUGAGAACCUUUCUUUCCUUUUCUUUGGGGUUCUAAGAGGCGCUUGGGUCUUGCUAUUUGGUGCUUUUCUCCCACUGCUGUCCUCUUUUGUUUUCAUUGUGUUUUGGUAUCUUGAGUCCUGUUUACU
This is a long non-coding RNA of Perognathus longimembris pacificus (Pacific pocket mouse), 210 nucleotides long. RefSeq lists it as uncharacterized. The record is from RefSeq and is a predicted model, not a curated record. The transcript is spliced from 3 exons. Lineage: Eukaryota; Metazoa; Chordata; Mammalia; Rodentia; Heteromyidae.